This 496-nucleotide ribosomal RNA is filed under the name uncultured bacterium. RNAcentral describes it as "partial 16S ribosomal RNA". It matches the Rfam family "Bacterial small subunit ribosomal RNA", at positions 30 to 523 of the family's 1533-position model. The record is from RNAcentral.
AUUGUACGCUGGCGGAAUGCUUUACACAUGCAAGUCGAACGGUAGAGGGGGCAACCCCUCGAGAGUGGCGAACGGGUGAGUAAUAUAUCGGAACGUGCCCAGUCGUGGGGGAUAACGUAGCGAAAGUUACGCUAAUACCGCAUACGAUCUAAGGAUGAAAGCGGGGGAUCGCAAGACCUCGCGCGAUUGGAGCGGCCGAUAUCAGAUUAGGUAGUUGGUGGGGUAAAGGCUCACCAAGCCAACGAUCUGUAGCUGGUCUGAGAGGACGACCAGCCACACUGGAACUGAGACACGGUCCAGACUCCUACGGGAGGCAGCAGUGGGGAAUUUUGGACAAUGGACGCAAGUCUGAUCCAGCCAUUCCGCGUGCAGGAUGAAGGCCCUCGGGUUGUAAACUGCUUUAGUACGGAACGAAAAGGUCUCUCUUAAUACGGGGGGCUCAUGACGGUACCGUAAGAAUAAGCACCGGCUAACUACGUGCCAGCCGCCGCAGUAA